GUGACAGAGAAAGAGUAAAAAAAAGAGACAGCCACAAACUAGAUCUCAGAGCUACUGUACCAUGCACAUGGCCAAGUUACAUAACCACUCUUCCAAUUCAACAGAACAUGCACAGAAACAGAAACAGGUUACUAAAAGUCCGAAGCACAAAGAAGGUAUGAAAAUCCUGAAGUCAAUAGUUAGGGAGAUUCAGAUCAUCCCCUCAAGGAGAAGUUGAACAUUUGAACACUGCAAAUUAGCACACCCAUUGUGGGCCAUAAAAAAAUGCGAUCACUCCCCUCAUUUGAUGAUUAGAUGAAUGGCUUGGCAAAAAUCCAUGCGUUAUGUAGGCAAGUGUAUGUUCUGGUUGUUUUGGUGGCAUCCACCAACACCCCUUGUUAAUUGCACAGUCUAGAUAUAGUUUAACAUAAUGACCUCGAGGAACUGAAUCAAAAUACAUAAGACUUUUUUUAUUCACAGUUUCUCCCCUAACCCAUGAAUUCAGGCAGAGGUGAGCCAUGUUUAUGUAACUAGAAGCAGAUGAAAGAAAGAUUGUGUCUAGAUGAUUACUCUGGCACUUUUUUCCCCCAGCAGUCCAGAGGCACCUGUAAUAUUACCUGCCAAGACCUACACUCCAUUAACAUUGUAGUCUGACAGGUUUGUCUGAGUCAGCUUGGUAACAACUGCUUCAGUUCCACAGAGGGAGGGUCUUGCUAUGAAUCCCAGACUGGCAUGAAACUUGAGAUCUUCAACCUCCCUCAUACUGGGAUUACAAGCCUGUGCCACCAUGCCCAGCUGUUUGCAUUUUUAUGUAUUUUGAUGCCAUGGCUCUGUUAUUUUAAUUACUGAGACUUUAUAACAUUUUUUUAUUUAAUUAAGUGUAUUUUUUCUCAUGAUCCAGAGUAAUACUCCUGGCUUUUAAAAACAACUUUAGUCUACAACCAUACUACCCUGACUGCUCCAUCUUGUCUUAAAAACAACUUUAUUGAGGCACUCUUUACUACAACAAAAUGUACCAUUUAACUGUAUAUUUCAAAGUUUUGACAAAUUCAGUCAGGUAACCACCAUCACGAUUUCCAAAAAAUUAAUGAAAGUAUUUUAAAGAGUGUUUCAAAUUAUAACUAGGAAAACUACAAUAAAUUUAUUCCAAUUAAAAUAUGGGGAGGAGAACUAAUAUUCCAUCUACAUAAAUGCAAAAGACUAAUAACUGGAAAUUAAGUAUUGAUCCUAUGGUAAAGCAAAUUAAAACUACAUACCAUUAUUCUACAUCAUUAAUAUAAAACUUCAAAUGUAAAAAUAUUUAAAAUAAACAGAAUCUCAUCAAUCUA
This is a non-coding RNA of Cricetulus griseus (Chinese hamster), 1307 nucleotides long. NCBI's taxonomy places the organism in Eukaryota, Metazoa, Chordata, Mammalia, Rodentia, Cricetidae. The record is from RefSeq and is a predicted model, not a curated record.